UGGGGAAUAUUGCACAAUGGGCGAAAGCCUGAUGCAGCAACGCCGCGUGAGGGAAGACGGUUUUUCGGAUUGUAAACCUCUGUUUUCGGUGACGAACAAAUGACGGUAACCGAGUAGGAAGCCACGGCUAACUACGUGCCAGCAGCCGCGGUAAUACGUAGGUGGCAAGCGUUAUCCGGAAUUACUGGGUGUAAAGGGAGCGCAGGCGGGAUAGCAAGUCAGCUGUGAAAAACUAUGGGCUCAACCCAUAAACUGCAGUUGAAACUGUUAUUCUUGAGUGGAGUAGGACGACAA
RNAcentral lists this ribosomal RNA (294 nucleotides) under uncultured Eubacterium sp. RNAcentral describes it as "partial 16S ribosomal RNA". It matches the Rfam family "Bacterial small subunit ribosomal RNA", at positions 355 to 662 of the family's 1533-position model. Lineage: Bacteria; Bacillati; Bacillota; Clostridia; Eubacteriales; Eubacteriaceae. The record is from RNAcentral.